This 425-nucleotide ribosomal RNA is filed under the name uncultured prokaryote. RNAcentral's name for it is "bacterial SSU rRNA". It matches the Rfam family "Bacterial small subunit ribosomal RNA", at positions 355 to 796 of the family's 1533-position model. The record is from RNAcentral.
UGGGGAAUAUUGCACAAUGGGCGCAAGCCUGAUGCAGCAACGCCGCGUGAGCGAAGAAGGCCUUCGGGUCGUAAAGCUCUGUCCUAAGGGAAGAAUAAAUGACGGUACCUUAGGAGGAAGCCCCGGCUAACUACGUGCCAGCAGCCGCGGUAAUACGUAGGGGGCAAGCGUUAUCCGGAAUCACUGGGCGUAAAGGGUGCGUAGGCGGUUUUACAAGUCAGGAGUGAAAGGCAAUGGCUCAACCAUUGUAAGCUCUUGAAACUGUAUAACUUGAGUGCAGGAGAGGAAAGUGGAAUUCCUAGUGUAGAGGUGAAAUUCGUAGAUAUUAGGAGGAACACCAGUGGCGAAGGCGACUUUCUGGACUGUAACUGACGCUGAGGCACGAAAGCGUGGGGAGCGAACAGGAUUAGAUACCCCCGUAGUCC